RNAcentral lists this long non-coding RNA (692 nucleotides) under Phoenix dactylifera (date palm). RNAcentral describes it as "long non-coding RNA (PDAC_LNC012210)". Lineage: Eukaryota; Viridiplantae; Streptophyta; Magnoliopsida; Arecales; Arecaceae. The record is from RNAcentral.
CCUGCUUCCUAAUCCAUCCAUGGUCAAACCCAUAUCCACAACAGGAUCUAUGACUGUAACUAUACACUAUAUACAACAGAAGGUUUAUAAUACACCAAAAGGGUAUAAACUCUAUCUACAAUUUACUAUACUAUACUAUGGAGCGGCACAGCUAGCAGGCAAUCGUUAACCCUGCUCUUCUCUAUACAAUACCUGCCCUGCAAUCAAAAAUACCAAACUGGGGAGUGAGUAUAUAAAUACUCAGUGAGUGGAGUAGAGAGUACUAUGCACAUGAGACAGAAUAUAAUCAUGGCUCGAGAUGAAAUCUCAAGAUCAAUAACAAGAUGAACAUGAACUCAACAUAGAGAAUAUGGAGUAAAUCAUCAAUAUCACCACAAUCAAUAUCAACUCAUCUGAAGCAUAUAUGCAAUAAUCAAGUAAACAUAUAUGCUACUCAUGAAUAUGCUCAACAGAUCAUAAUGCUGGAACAUACAAAUCAGGUGUCAAUAUGCUGAAUCAUCGAUAAAUAGCUAUCGAAAGGUGGGUCUUACGCCCCAGGCGAACCACAACAACUCCCUACUGCCAUAUGCAUACAUAGAAUAUGACAUCACACCAAUAUGUAAAUCAGGGUGUCAAUAUGCGAAAUCAUCACUAGACAGUUGUCGGAAGGUGGAUUUUACGCCCAGGCGAACCAGCAACAACUCCCUACUGUC